AUUGAUUUUAUUAUCAAUAACAAUUGUGAGACUUCAGAUAGAAAUAACAACAAUGGUUAUAAAACAAAGGUUAUAAAAUUGUGUAGAUUAAGUAAUACUUCAAAUUAAAGGGAACACAAAAAUCCUACAACAGCAUCGUUGACUAAACACACUUAUUUAACUGAAUACAGUGAUUGACUUUUGUUUGGAUGACAUCAGUUAGUUGUAUGGUUGUCAUUGUGAACAAUAUACAACCACAGUCAACGCUUCAGAUAUUUCAUUUUAACAUUAGAAGUAACAAUAAUGUGUUAAAAGUGUUGCUAGCAUAUUUCUAGAAGUUGCUAGUUAAACAUAAUUUGAGAGUAAAAUCAGUAAUCAAACCUAGCAUCACUUCCAGAAAGUAAUCUCUUCCAUUUGAAAAAAGCACUUGAAUUCAAAAAACAACAAUCAUCUUUAUGUUUUAACAGAAUCAGCUGUUGUCUAAUUUUCAAAUUUACUCAGUAUUAAAAAGAGUGUAAAAUGGUCUAUUAUUAAAGUUUGUUAAUAAUGCAUGCCUUUCCCAUUGAGUGUUGAAGGUCAUAAGAAGAUUGGUGUCAUUAGUAUCAACAUGAAAAUUUAGCAAACAUCACGGAUUAGUGUAUUAUCAAACAGUUGAUGUUUUUUCUGUAAGAAAAGAUAUAAAUAAAAAAUAUGAAACAAGAAUGUGUCCAAAGUACACGGAUGCCCCACUCGCAUUAUCAUUUUCCAUGUUCAAUGAG
This 737-nucleotide long non-coding RNA is filed under the name Mytilus galloprovincialis (Mediterranean mussel). Lineage: Eukaryota; Metazoa; Mollusca; Bivalvia; Mytilida; Mytilidae. The record is from RNAcentral.